AACGAACGCUGGCGGCAUGCCUAACACAUGCGAGUCGAACGAGACCUUCGGGUCUAGUGGCGCACGGGUGCGUAACGCGUGGGAACCUGCCCUUAGGUUCGGAAUAACUCCCCGAAAGGGGUGCUAAUACCGGAUAAUGUCUUCGGACCAAAGAUUUAUCGCCUUUGGAUGGGCCCGCGUUGGAUUAGCUAGUUGGUAGGGUAAAAGCCUACCAAGGCGACGAUCCAUAGCUGGUCUGAGAGGAUGAUCAGCCACACUGGGACUGAGACACGGCCCAGACUCCUACGGGAGGCAGCAGUGGGGAAUAUUGGACAAUGGGCGAAAGCCUGAUCCAGCAAUGCCGCGUGAGUGAUGAAGGCCUUAGGGUUGUAAAGCUCUGUUACCCGGGAUGAUAAUGACAGUACCGGGAGAAUAAGCGCCGGCUAACUCCGUG
RNAcentral lists this ribosomal RNA (433 nucleotides) under uncultured bacterium. Its description in RNAcentral is "partial 16S ribosomal RNA". It matches the Rfam family "Bacterial small subunit ribosomal RNA", at positions 29 to 507 of the family's 1533-position model. The record is from RNAcentral.